CAGUAGCCGCGGUAAUACGGAGGGUGCAAGCGUUAAUCGGAAUUACUGGGCGUAAAGCGCACGCAGGCGGUCUGACAAGUCAGAUGUGAAAUCCCCGGGCUUAACCUGGGAACUGCAUUUGAAACUGUCAGGCUGGAGUCUUGUAGAGGGGGGUAGAAUUCCAGGUGUAGCGGUGAAAUGCGUAGAGAUCUGGAGGAAUACCGGUGGCGAAGGCGGCCCCCUGGACAAAGACUGACGCUCAGGUGCGAAAGCGUGGGGAGCAAACAGGAUUAGAUACCCCUGUAGUCCCUGUCUCUUAUAA
RNAcentral lists this ribosomal RNA (301 nucleotides) under uncultured bacterium. Its description in RNAcentral is "partial 16S ribosomal RNA". It matches the Rfam family "Bacterial small subunit ribosomal RNA", at positions 509 to 809 of the family's 1533-position model. The record is from RNAcentral.